GCAGGGACAGCAGCAACAAAGGCCAAGCUUCCCGCCUCCGGGACCUCCGUCUGGUUCCUGCAGCAGGACACUGUCUAUGUGGUCCCAUGGGAGCUGAAUGAUGGCACCCAAAGGCACGUUUGUCUCUGCUGAGCCACCGGGGAAACAGAAGGUGUGCCAGCCAGGGGGACUGAGUCCUGGGGAGACCUGGCUGACACCAGCCCAAGAGGCUGGCAGAGCACUCGGGGAACCCCAGAGAGCUCCUGGCUGUGUCCCACCUCUCAAGGCCUUGGUCCUUCAGCUAAAGAUGCCCACUGCCCCCCGGAACACCACCACUCUGGGCUUCCUCUAACCCCAGCCGUCCCCCUCCCUCCCCCUCUUCUAUGUGGGAGAAUGAGAGAGAUAAGAACCAGCAGCUUCAAUUAAAACCGAGUCGCUUGAACAAUAAUGGAAAAGUAAUUGAGCUAAAUUGAAAUGUAA
Molecule: long non-coding RNA, 459 nt
Filed under: Capra hircus (goat)
Lineage: Eukaryota; Metazoa; Chordata; Mammalia; Artiodactyla; Bovidae
Description: lncRNA (ENSCHIG00000007750.1)
Source: RNAcentral